CAGAGAGUGGGUAGAGUCGGGAGGGGAGUGUGUGGAAUGUGGGCGGAGUCAGGGCAUGACGUGGGCAGGAGGAUGGGGAUCGGAGUGCGCAAGGCCCCUCUGAAGAUUUUUUUGCAAGGGGGUCAGGCACACUCUAGUUACUGACGAGAGGCAAGCAAUAUGGCAGCAUUUACAUUAUCUGGCUAAAAGUACGUGGACACCUUGUAAGGGGUAGGUUGUGUUACUCAUGCCAAACAUAAAGCAAAUAGUAUGUAUCUGUAUGUAACCAUUGUAUAUUUACCUUUUAAAUCUGUUUGAUAAAGCUACUGUACAUAAGGAAAAUGUCAGUAUUGUAGUCAGAAAUGGUGUAUAUUUUAACAUGCAAUGUUAAGCAGUCAUUAUAAGUUAUUUGUGACAUAUUUUCAUUUUCUAAUGCCUAGUAAAGAACAGCAGUGGGUAAUGGCAGAUAUAUUUCAGAGCCUUAAUCCAGGAAAUGUACUGAAUAAUGUACUGUAUAACAUGCCAUCCUAUAAAAUGCAAACUGAACAUUGGGAAGAGCAGUAUUAGUGCUGUGGAGGCUGCAUGUGAUCAGCAGAUGAGAGGCACAUGGACAGACUGAGGACCAGCACAUGCAAAGGAAGUGAUACAGCAGUGACUGGAGACCUGAGAGGGUAUAAAAGGAGUUACAGGUACCUGAGAGAGGGACUGUCUGGACCAGAUAGCAGGACUGCAGCAGUGCAAAGACAAGCAAACAAGUUUCUGUGCAGGGAAAGGAGCAGAGCCGGAAUAGCUGAGCAGCAGAAUUGAACUGCAUUGGUAAAAGAGCUGAGAGGCCUCCAGCACCAGAAGCAGGCAAUGGACAGAGGAUUAUUUCAGGCAGCUGUGGAAUACUAAUCCUGAUGGGUCCAGAUAAUAGUCAGUUCUGGCCAGAACUUUGAACUGUCCUCCCAGCAGCAUCCUUUCCUUUUCUUCUCAGAUGGCCCCAUCUUGGAACCAGUUAAUGUGCCAAUUACCCAGAGACAAGUUUAGCAAUUCUUUUGCCAAAGUCUUCAAUGGACACUAAAGUUUGCUAGGCACUAGGUUUAAGAACUCAUUGUGGACACCACACUUAUUAAGUGCCUCCUUCUGUCACAAAGACUGCCACAAACCCCUGCUGUUCUCAUCUCAUAACCGGAACCUCUUACAACCAUUCGAUUCAGGUCCCGCAACCCAAGUGACUGUACUAAGUGGGCUCCUGGGUGAUGAUGCAAAUAUAUAAUCCAGUAUUUAAUGCAGUUUGUCCUCUUAUAUUAAAGUUGUAGGCACAGGUUCUGUUAAGAUAUUUUAGGAUUACUUUGUAUUAUUAAAAUGUUGAACAUUGUUAUAUGUUAAUGAAAGAAAAGGGGUUAUCUAUAAUUCUUCCUAAGUGAAAUAAGAAAUAGAAGCUAACUGCUAUUCCGUGAGUUAUUAAGCAUGUUAUGUAUUGUGUCUAUAUAGUAUAUGGCUAUAUCAAGUAAUAUUAUAUGCACACUGUUCAGACACUGCUGUGAAUGUUAACAGUGGAGGUUAUGUCUGUUGGCUACAUAAGUAAAAUGGUAAUUAUUUUUUUUGUAAAACCAGUAAACUGCAGUUAAGCUUC
This is a long non-coding RNA of Xenopus laevis (African clawed frog), 1597 nucleotides long. RefSeq lists it as uncharacterized. Lineage: Eukaryota; Metazoa; Chordata; Amphibia; Anura; Pipidae. The transcript has 2 exons. The record is from RefSeq and is a predicted model, not a curated record.